Molecule: small RNA, 121 nt
Filed under: Arabidopsis thaliana (thale cress)
Lineage: Eukaryota; Viridiplantae; Streptophyta; Magnoliopsida; Brassicales; Brassicaceae
Description: ATSL028860
Source: RNAcentral
UUAGUGAUGAUAAAAUAAUAAAAUAAAUAUUUAAUCUGUGUUAUAUGAAUCCAAACCCGUCCCGCUAUAUUUCAUAUCAAUUCAAACUCAUUCCGCUAUAUUUCUCAUCUCAUGAUAUUUU